Pungitius pungitius (ninespine stickleback) is the source of this 839-nucleotide long non-coding RNA. RefSeq lists it as uncharacterized. The record is from RefSeq and is a predicted model, not a curated record. The transcript is spliced from 3 exons. Lineage: Eukaryota; Metazoa; Chordata; Actinopteri; Perciformes; Gasterosteidae.
CGUGUCCUGCAGGGUGGAGGAUGUUCAGUGGUUCCUGUUAUCUUCUCUCUUCACGGGGUACUUCCUGGAAUAAUGCAAGAAGAGACUGCAGAGCAAAAGGAGCAGAUCUGGUGAUGAUAAACUCACUUGGAGAACAGAAAUUCCUGUCAAGCUUCACCACACAAACUAGUUGGAUUGGUUUGAGUGACGAAGACAUCGAGGGCACAUGGAAAUGGGUUGAUGGAACUCUGCUGACUGAGAAGUUCUGGUACAAUGGCACCGAUAGAGUUCAGCCUGAUAACGGGGGAGGAUAUCCCCAGUGGGGGGAGGAGGACUGCGCUGACAUAGAACCUUACAAGAAACCACAAUCAAACUGGAAUGAUCUGUCGUGUGACGCUGCUCUGCAAUGGAUCUGUGAGAAACCGGCUUAAUAAUUUAAACACAUCAUCUGUAAAGUGUGAUUGUGUUUUGGCAAAAAGCCUUUAAUGGUGUCGUUGUAAGUUGCAUUUAGAGAAGGAGACCAUGUAAGUGCUGAGAGGUCAGGUAUCAGGGUCUUAUUUUAAGUCUUUUUAUUAUGAUGCAUCUGUAGUGUGUGUCUGUAUGUGUGUGCUGGUGACUUUGGUAUCAAAGAAACAAAGCUGCAUGUUGUACUGAACCUAUAUUUUAAUAAAAAGCUUCACGCUGAAAUGCAUUUAUUAGAGCAAUAAAGGCGACCUGAGUUUUCAUUAAUUACGUCACAUUCCCCAAUGCACCCAGCUAGUAUGAACAUCUCCUCAUGUCCCUCAAUAACUACUAGAAUACAGUCCACUUAACAAGUAGCAUAAUGCAGCAUGUGUACUUCUAUGUAAUGAAAAUGGCUU